GGGCUCGUUACUGGGUCAGCGCUGUGAACCUGCACUGCAGCUCACACACCUGACCUAGAUUACACUCUGCAGAGCCUGGAUGAGCUGCAAUACAGUAUUCAGUCAGUCCCUCAACAGAGUUUGAAAAGCAGCAGAUACAGUAUACUACAGCACUGAAAGCAUACAUGAUGUGUUUGAGAUGUUUACUUCACCUGUGCAUUCAUUAUUCGAGUGGGUGCACCGGCUGUGAAAAUAUAGAUCUGUGCCUACAACCAAAACUGACCACCGCAUUAAAUAUUAAAUUGAGAAAAAGCAAAUCGCCAAAAGUAAUUACAAUUCCUAAAAAGUUGCAGCACUUACUUCAAACUUUAAUUGUCGUAUUCAAUUAAAUAAUUUAACAUACAACUUUGUCUAAUCUCUGGACGAGAAGCAAUUGAAACAUGUGUAAUUUUCAUGCUGUUUUUUUGACAGAUUGUGUGUAAAAUUAACACUGAAGAUUGGUCUGUGUUAAAAAGAAAUACUCCUCUAAAGUCAUUUUUUUCUGAUUUAGUAUUCCCUUCACUUUUCCUUUAAAUAUAUAAUACUCUUGCUCUUCAGGGCUGUGAUCCAAAAUUAAAUCAAUACGGCACUACUACAGACAGAUAUGUGAGGAGCUUUAUUUAUUCAUAGAGGAAAGAUCAGUGUAUUCUCCAGUCAUGUUGUGGCUGAACACACUAUUCUGUCUGAUCUCGACCAGAGCAGCAGACAGAUUUAUUUUGGUUGUAGAGUGGGGUUCACACGAGGGGAGAAGUGUGAUAUGUAAAAGACUGCCAGACUUGGCAGGGUGGUGUGUUGGAGAAAAGUGUAGUCUCUGGAGCUCUAUAGUAGCACCUUUUUAGUAAGGGGAAGACGUCUUAUAUCCUGUUAUAUUCAACCUCCAAUCUGUAUUUGCUUAUUUCUAUUAAUGAUUCAAGAGCAACAAAAGCUGGAGUCUCGUUCCUUGUAUGAGUUGUCUGGUGAAUGAAAAUUGCUGUGGGCAUAAUAUAAAAAAUAAAAUCAGGUCCUGUAACACUUCUAUGAACAAGAACUGAGAAAAAUAUGUUUUCAGACACUGUAAUUCUCUUUAGGAAAACCCCCAAAACUGCGUCUUCAAAAUUAAUUUUAUCCUCUUUAUACCAGAGCUUCAAUUUUCUGCAGCCUCCUUAUGUGGCCAAGAGAACAUCCCCUUUAAUAACCCGCAAUGUCUGAACUCUCAAUAUUGCUGGCUACUUAUUGGCUUGAAGAAAAUAACCAGCAAAUAAACAGAGCAUUGAUAUUUAAUAUCUGAACACAAACAAGUCAGCUGGACUAUAAACAUGCUGCUCAGUGUUUACAGUUACCCUAGUCCCUGAAAAGAAAGAAAUGAAUAAAAAGUGAAUGUUUGUUGUUACCUGCACUCGUAAAUUUAUUAACAGAUUACACUUGGGGUCAAAUCAUGCAUUUGAUCCUGAAUACAAAAGUAUAUUGACAUCAAUAGCAAAAUUAUCUAUUUAAUUUAAUGUCAAUUUUCUAAUAAUAAAAUAUUUUCAUCUUCAUCUGCAUCUUCUUUUUUGACCAAAAAAUGCCAAAUGUGGUUUUCAUACUUUUAAUUUGAGCUUGGUCCUUUUGACAUUAUUGAGUAACAGGUAGGGGUGGCAUGGUAAUAAUUUAAGGUGGUUUUGUGCAUUUGGGGACAGUGAAAGUCAUCACUGUUUGUACUUAAGACUAAAAUUAUUGUUAAAUGAUUUUCUUUGGACUGAAUGUUGCAACCUUAAAGAUUACUGAAAUUUUCAACCUGUUUUAGCAGAACUAAAGUGAACAUAUCGUACAUCAACAGGUUUGUCAGCAGGUAAAAGUGAAACUGACCUCCCUCUACUGCUUGCUUAUGUGCAAGGACUGAGACCAGUGGAUUAGCGCUGCUUCAUCAGCUACAUAUAAUGUCUCCAGUGCCCUGAAAAUAAAUUCUAUAGCUUCUUUUAAAGGAGGACAAUAUAUCUGAGGAAGCAAUGUAAGAAUGGGCAUUACAUAUCUGCACAAAAGGCUGUAAAUUGUGGUUUUGUUACAUGUGCUUUUGUGUUAUUGAAACCUGUUAUUUGAUUUGCUGAUCUGACCAUUUUUGGUCACAUGACUAUUCAGCACACAGAGUGCAGAGUGGCCAGCAUGGAUGCAGAUGAGCAGGGGGCACAAGGUCUACUAUGUAGGAUUAUUUUGGGAUAGGGUUACCAGUGAGCCACCCUGAUAGCAGAGUUAACAUUUUUACUCUUAUAGCACAAUCAUGAUGACUCUUCUCACUAGCACCAGGAGUCCUGACUCUUAUGACAACAAAAUUUGUCAAGUUUCUCAUGACCAAAUGUGAUUUUAGUGUAAAAAAAACAUGGCAGAGAGAAGGAGAAGUUAUUUCUUUUUAAUGCCUCCUCUUGUUGAUUUGGUCUGGUGUGUUUUACUGAGAUGUUGUUAGAUGAACACCAGCUGUUUCUAAAAUUGCAUGCGGCUAAAUUAAGCUUCAACCCCUUUUCCUCAUGCCGUGUACUGUUCCCCUUUGCACAGCCUACAUCAGCUUUAAUACUACAUUUGGUGAUUGGACCUCAUACUAAAAAUGGAAACCAGAACACUUCAAAUACCAAAAGUCGGUCAUGCGCCUACUGAUUCUCUAUUUUUAAGCAGGAUCUUUAAAUACUGAUUAGCUGGCUCUUGAAUGCAGGUUUAGGUUUGCUUAGCUAACAGCUACAUGGCUGCAUUUCAAAUUAAGAGUUAAAAAUGCACAUUUACAUUACGUGGGAAAAGGCAGACUGCAUCCUGCUACCUGCCAAGCCUUUCUACUCAAUCUCUUCCCUCUCCCAAACUUAUAUAACUCCAGCUAGAAUGAACCUCAACCUUCAUAAACUCAAGUGUCAUACCAAUUAAAGUCUGAUAUUUUGAGGAGUUGUACUUUAAUGCAUACCCUUUUUUUGUCGCUCUGGUCUCAAAUAUGGAACCUACUGUAGAGCAGGUGUCUAGGGUCAAAAGUUUUACCUGUUUCUCGUUCUAUUCAAAUGAUUGCAGGGUGUGAUAUAUAUGUGUGUCGCUCUUAUGCAGACAGCCUAUUAGUGGGACAAAAGCUCCUGUUUCCCUUUUCUUUUGAAAGAGAUCAGUGGAUUUGCACAAAGACAACCCAAUUUAGACAUCUCUAACAAAGCUCCCCCCUUCUUCCUCCCUCUCCUCUCCGCCUCUCUCUCUGUCUCUGCUACACAUACAUUCACACAUUUGCAUGCUCUUUCAGAAAGUAGCGGUUCUCAUCCAAAAAGCUCAAGCUGUGAAAGCUGGGGGAUUGCGGAGGCUAGUGACUGAAGGGACAGAAUUAGCGGGAAACUGAGGGAGUGACAAAAAGAGGUGUGUACGGUUGAGGAAGGUCUCCUGAAGAAGCUUAAGUCCACCCUGUUUGAAAGCGCUUUGAUCUCGCUCUGAAGCCGCUCAGCCAAGAGUUAACACUGCUGCUUUAUUAAGGACCUCUAUUUCUCGACUCUGCUCUCACUUCUGUCAACACUUUUUUUUUUAUUUUCAGGGAUCAAAUUAGCAAUUCAAAUGAAGGCUAUUUGGAUAUGCUCGCCCAGCUUCCUCCCCUUGGCUUUCCAGGCAAUUUGACAAUAUUUUUGUUAAGCCCCAUUUCCUCCUAACGAAACUGUAGCAACGGAGGAAAGGGAGGAGAUGUGGGGAGAGAGGGGAGGGCUGGCCAUGGAGGAGGAGGACGGGUAGGGAGGGGGAGCAUAUGCAGCGAGUCUAAGUGUGGGUGUGGAAGGUCAAAUAGGAGAUAGAGUGGUCCUUGCCAUUUGGCAUGCUCCCUGUGCUAAGCUAAUAUGAGGGAUAAUGACGGUUAUUGGAAUAAUAUGGUCCCGUUUAGAGAUGAAAGGUUUAAAUUGAUUCAGGGAUUAUAAAAUGGAGCCACCCUGCCACUAGAUGAUGAGCCUAUUUUAUAGUAGCUGGCUAAUCUGAGGGACACCCAGUAACCUUGAACUGUCAAACUGCUGUUACACUUAGUCAGCAUAGAUCUUUUCUAUAUCCAGGUACAUCUUUGGAGUUUAGGUGAUGCGAAGGAGAUAUGGCAAUGAUCAACAGAGCAGAGCUGAGGAUGCAGACAUGCUCCUGUCUAGUGCUUCAUAGACUGCAGUCAUGAAGCCUUAAAAUUUUUUCAUUGUAGCUUUUGUGCCCUUAAUUAUGCCAAAAUUACUGUAAUUUAAAAAGUCAAAUAUGAAUAAAAAGAGCUGUUCACAAAUGUCAGAAAAUGAGAAAGUAGCAUUUCAACAAAAAAAAAAAAACUGUGAUAUAGUGAAAUAAAAUAUGGCAUUUCAAGAUGGGUCUUAAUAGGAAUUGGCUCAUUUUGAGAACUAGUUUCAAGUGGUCAUUUUAGGAACUGCAGUCCUUGGUGCCCAAACAUUUAGGUUGCCAUUUGCAAUCUGUGCUUUGCUCAGCACAUAUCGCCCUGCUAAAAGUAGGGCUGGGCAUCAUGUGCUGAAAAACAAAUCUCUGGAUCGAUCACGCAAUUUUUAUUGACUUUCUUUUUCCCAAAAAUUAAAACCACUCAUAGUAAAAACAUAACUCUAAACACUGUGUUUUGUCCAAGCACCAUAGCACAUUUCAGCUCCUUGCCUCUCUUAAAGUAUCCACCAAAUCUAUUUGCAUCGUAGCCCACAUCAAACACUAAUCAAGCCGAAACACAGAAGACCAACUUAAACAUGGAGUCAAACAUGGAGAUAGUAAAUACAGAAUCCUGAUUGUUUACUGGAGCGUAUCGACAAGAUAUACUCUCUAAUAACAGAUAUAUUAUGAAUGAACAAAUACCAAAAAAAACAUCCAUUUGCCUGCAGGUAACAGUACAACAAAAUAUAACACAAGUAUUUUGAUAUAUUGAAUACUUUAAACUUUCAUAAAUUAAACUUCAUACACUUUAUAAACUCACCAGUAGUAAAAGCACAAAAGCCAUAGAAAAACAUUCAAAUGUGCAGUGAAUCAGCCACGGAAAAACACUGUAGCUUGUUGUUAGCAUGUUAUUCUUCGCAUACACUUAAAUUAUUGAGCAAGCAAACAAGCUUCUACUGAGGCCCACUGAAUGAGGCAAACUGUGGAGCUGAUGGUUCACCAACAAGGGCGGAAUUUUUUGCUUUUUUUUUUACUGUUGAGAAUUGAUAGACCUUGUUGUAAGGCUGUUACCAAUACCAAUGUUUAAAUCAGCCAACUAUGCCAGCUGUUUCUCUUCAGCUGUGAUGGUUAGUUUUUUAGUAUUUUCCUGUGACUUUUCUAAAUUUAAUAUGCUCCUAAUUUUACUUUUUCAAAUCACCACCCUCAAAAGCUCUGUUUCAACCAAAAAUAGUGGUUUAAACUGAGAAAAAAAGCUCCAACACCUGCUGUAAACCACCUACAUACAGACAGUAGUCAAAGCAAGAGGCCAGACAGUGAACAAAGUGGAUAAUUGAGCUGCUUUAGAGCCACAUAUGUCCUGGUGGAGCAGUUACAGACCAGCAACAGAGCUAAAAGGAUGCUGAAUAUUUGAUUGGAUUGGAUAAUCCUAAUGGUCCUUGGGGGCAGCUUGGUUAGCAACAGAAGAGGACACAUGCAAUACACAUCAUGAAAAAACAGGAAGACUGAAAUAAUGUACAAAUCAUGCAUACAUUUAAAUAAAUAAAACCCUUGGAUGCAAUCAUAAGAGGCAUGCAAUCUAAGAUCCAGUGGCAACGAUGCUUAUUUAAACACCCAAUGGCAGGUGAAUAAAAAUGUAGACCUAUAAUAUCAGUCUGAUUUGGCUUUUGCAGUUUAAAUAUACCUCGGAUGUCUCCGCAGCAGUGAUGGGUGUAAAUAUUGGCAAACACUGGGCUCACAUUUGUCUGGCCUAAAUGGUAAAUAUUUGUGUGAGGGUGGUAGCCUACAAACAGGGGAGUAAUGGAAAAUAAUUGUCUUUAAAACAUCACAUAUUGGAACCAUAUGUAUAGGGAUCCUACGCAAGUAUGGAAAGUAUGGAAAAAUAUGAAAAUAAAUUUGAACAAUUUCCAGGUCUUAAAACGUAUGGAAAAUGAAAAAUAAAGUAUUGAAAAAUAUUUGUUUCCAGACUAUUACCGCUGUUCUAAAAUACUGUUUUCUAAAAUAGAGAAGUAUUUUCAAAAAUACUUCCAAAAAGUAGGGUAUGGAAAAGUUUUAUAUCUUUUGUAUUGUUUUCUGUAUAAUAUGGACUACUGGUUCUGAAAUAAAGCUUUACAUUACAUUACAUUAUGGAAAUUACAACUGUGUAGAAACCCCGUAUGUAGAACAACUGAGAAAAUGGGGGGUAAGUUUUAUGAGAAAACAGAGGUAUGAGGUAUGAGUGAUGACGAUGCAUGAUAAAGAAUAAUGUAAAUAAACUACUAAACACUUUGUUUUUACUGCUUACAUGUUACACUGCAAACCUCUUGCCCUUUAGUGGGAAUAAAAUUAACUACACCCCUCUCAGCUCCAACAUAUCUGCCAAUCACUCCCGCUGGGUAAACCUCAGUAAUAAGGCCGGUCCAGAGAGAGAGAGUGAUGGGGGCAGCAGGAAGAUCCCAUGAAAGGAGAAGCUGCACUACAAUAGCUGUAAACACUGAUUAAAGGUCCUUAUAGAGAGUCAAACAGCAACCCAAGGAAAUGCACACACAUUUAUCAUGCAUGGGCUUGUAGCCUUGGAAUUAACCCACACAGAUAAAUCUGUGUUAAAGGAGUAUGAAGACAGACUUGAAAUUACACUACGCCUCUGGUUCUUAAAGCAUCUUGAAGAGGACAUGAGGGUAAAAUUGAAUUUUAUUUUUCUGCCUCUCUGUGUGAGAUUUGGGGGAAAUAUGACAACAACAGCUAAUGAGGCUAGUGAUCUAUCUCCCUCCUGGGUGGGCCUCUAUCCUCAGAUCAGCUGCCGGAGCCAAAAACGUGGCCCUGUUGGCACGGCCUGUCUGGUUUUAGUCCAUCGGAUUUAUUUUUUGCAGUGUUAUCCAAAGCAAACAGAGGGCUGUGGGUGGAAAUGACAAUCAAACACUAAUUCAAUAUGUCACCGUCCUGUCAAUCAGGUUGGACUGAUUAGCGUUGCUUGUUCUCUUAAAUGUGUUGUAUCACUUCCUUGCCAAAAUAUAAUGCGAUCCUUUCAUGCGUGUUGGGCCUGGGCUGUGGCGCAGUGCUAAGUCAGCGCUCUAGUUAAUAAGUCCUUUUCAUUAAACAAGCGUUCAUUAAAGAUUCAUUCAUUCACUCAUCCUCAUUUGCAUUUUCUCAUCAUAAAAGCAUUCAUGAAACAUUCAUUUGUUCACUUGUUCUCAUUUGCACGCUUUCCAAUGCAUUCUUCAAGGAAAUGAAUAUGAGGAGAGUGGAAGAUGGAGGCCGAAGAGGAGGAGGAGGAGGAGGAGGGGGAGGAGGAGGAGGAGGAGGAGGGCAGCGAGGGGGCAGAGGAGAUAGUUAUUACUCCAUUUGAACAAUCUGUCCUGUAAAUGAAAAUAGAAAUUAGAUUAUGUUCCCUCUCAUCGUUAUGUAGAGGCACUGGCCAUGUUAAAAAAAAAACUCUUUUGCACAAUCGAGGGCAUGAUAUGAAAACAAAUCACUGCUGAUAUGAAAGCAUGCUCAGAUAGGAACUCAUUCCUGGUUGAAUAACAUACCUGUGAGAGCAAAUGACAUCCCAUUUUGAGGCUGAUGGGACUGGAUAACAGUCACACGUUCUGUGCAGCUGCCCAUCUCACCACCGUCUACAUAAUAAAACCCAUAACAAUAUGCACCAAGAUCACGUCUAUGACAUUACAUCCUAUCUUUUAUUUCCUCCUCAUUUGAUCCAUAUUGUAUGACCGAGCUCCUCCCCACAUGCUUUUUCCCUCCCCUUGCACAGGCUGCACAUCAAAGACUUAUUCAAUAAAUCCUCUGUGAUAUAAAGCAGCUUUGCUCUACACAACAGUGCUCUGGGUGCAACUCCCACUCCGUACAGUAUAGUUUGUGUAUGUACGUGUGAAUGUGAUGAACUGAAUUCAGAUGAUGCAGCAGUGAAAGAUCAUCGUCUUACGUCUCCAACCCUGCAAGCAUCCUCCAUCCUCUCUUCAUUACCUUCUCCUCCCUUCCUUCUAACUUGUGCCGUCAGGGGAGACAUCAAUCUGAGUGACAGCUUGUGUGAUCCUCCUUCCGGGCUUGGUGGGAGAAGGAGCACUGUCAACAUAAAUAUCCUUCCAGGGUCCGCAGCGGACAUGGAGCAGCCGGGGCCACCAUGAAUCUUUAUCCAUUAUCACAGGCGCAGAAACAUGUGACCAUCAGUGCCGAAGACCAAACCAGCACCCUGAAACCCUCAACUCUGAAAUCAAUUUGAUCAAAACAGACAGUUCAUCGCCAGUUCCUGAUUGUUUGCCCAUUUUUAUUUCUGCAUGGGCAAAAAACAUUUACAGUUCACACAAACACACAAAAUGAUGGUAAGUGAACAUUUAGGGUAUUUAACUUUGGUUAGAACUUUCACUACAACAAAGUCAAACCCCAUUUAAUAUACUUUAUCAGCAACCUCUUUCACGCAUGAUGUUUAAGAUAUGGUAACAUCUAAAAGUACCUCAACAUACACCACCAAUUGGUGAAAAUGGUAUGCUGGCAGGGGAGUGACAAAACACACAGCACUCCAAAUAAGACUAGGUAUGAUAUGGUACGAUGCAACACGAUACAAUAUGAUCAUAGACUGUAUAUAGUAUUGACAAAUUGGUUCCGCCUUCCACCAGUAUACAGAUUUGAAGCCAAAAAGCUCCCAGUAAUUCCGCAUUUUUUCUCCACUUCCUGAAACCACCACUUGCGCAGUAGCGUUGUAGGCAUUUGGCGGGAGAGUCGAUGAUGCUCGGCUCAAACAGCGUAUCCCCC
Xyrichtys novacula (pearly razorfish) is the source of this 8814-nucleotide non-coding RNA. Lineage: Eukaryota; Metazoa; Chordata; Actinopteri; Labriformes; Labridae. The record is from the annotation of a GenBank genome assembly.